UAGGGAAGUCUUCGGCAAUGGACGAAAGUCUGACCGAGCAACGCCGCGUGAGUGAAGAAGGUUUUCGGAUCGUAAAACUCUGUUGUUAGAGAAGAACAAGGGUGAGAGUAACUGUUCACCCCUUGACGGUAUCUAACCAGAAAGCCACGGCUAACUACGUGUCAG
RNAcentral lists this ribosomal RNA (165 nucleotides) under uncultured bacterium. RNAcentral's name for it is "partial 16S rRNA". It matches the Rfam family "Bacterial small subunit ribosomal RNA", at positions 355 to 511 of the family's 1533-position model. The record is from RNAcentral.